GAUGAACGCUGGCGGCGUGCCUAAUACAUGCAAGUCGAGCGAACAGACGAGGAGCUUGCUCCUCUGACGUUAGCGGCGGACGGGUGAGUAACACGUGGAUAACCUACCUAUAAGACUGGGAUAACUUCGGGAAACCGGAGCUAAUACCGGAUAAUAUAUUGAACCGCAUGGUUCAAUAGUGAAAGACGGUUUUGCUGUCCCUUAUAGAUGGAUCCGCGCCGCAUUAGCUAGUUGAUAAGGUAACGGCUUACCAAGGCAACGAUGCGUAGCCGACCUGAGAGGGUGAUCGGCCACACUGGAACUGAGACACGGUCCAGACUCCUACGGGAGGCAGCAGUAGGGAAUCUUCCGCAAUGGGCGAAAGCUUGACGGAGCAACGCCGCGUGAGUGAUGAAGGUCUUCGGAUCGUAAAACUCUGUUAUUAGUGAAGAACAAAUGUGUAAGUAACUAUGCACGUCUUGACGGUACCUAAUCAGAAAGCCACGGCUAACUACGUG
Molecule: ribosomal RNA, 497 nt
Filed under: uncultured bacterium
Lineage: Bacteria
Description: partial 16S ribosomal RNA
Rfam family: Bacterial small subunit ribosomal RNA
Source: RNAcentral